UUGAAAGGGAAACGAUUGAAGUCAGUCGUGCUGGCGCGAAUCAACCCCUUCAUCGGGAGACCCAUGUUGUGGCGAGCCUCAAACCGCCACAGCAUGUGUCUCACGAUGAGGGGGAGCACUUUCGUGUCCGCUGGUUAACAUCAAUUUCGAACGUCAUAAAAAGGCUGGGGGGAUGUGGCUCCUUCGGGAGUGUUAUAACCUUUAGCGGAAUGUGGUGUUCGGGAUUGAGGAUUGCAACGAAUACCUUUAGGGCUGUUCCACCUGGCUUCCCUUUGGUAUCCUGGUGACGACAGCUUGCUGACGUUGUUAGGAUUCGCCUUUGAACAGGCUAGAGUGUGAGCAAAUUCGUUAAGGAUGUUGACGUA
Molecule: ribosomal RNA, 365 nt
Filed under: uncultured Glomeromycotina
Lineage: Eukaryota; Fungi; Glomeromycota
Description: LSU rRNA
Source: RNAcentral